UAGGAGAAUGACCCCUGGGUCGUCUCUCAAGUACCAAAUGUUGGUUCAAGAAAUAGGUCGAACACGUGGUGGGGUGGUUUUGUGGACAGUUUUGUGAACUAAAAUGAACCAAAUUAAACACAAAUGCAAACACAAAUUUAAAAUGAUUGGUCUCUAGCUCAAUCACAUGCUUCUGAUCACAAAUUAACAAUAAUUACCCACUCC
RNAcentral lists this long non-coding RNA (204 nucleotides) under Vigna radiata. RNAcentral's name for it is "long non-coding RNA (VRAD_LNC004062)". The record is from RNAcentral. Lineage: Eukaryota; Viridiplantae; Streptophyta; Magnoliopsida; Fabales; Fabaceae.